Poecile atricapillus (Black-capped chickadee) is the source of this 852-nucleotide long non-coding RNA. RefSeq lists it as uncharacterized. NCBI's taxonomy places the organism in Eukaryota, Metazoa, Chordata, Aves, Passeriformes, Paridae. The record is from RefSeq and is a predicted model, not a curated record. The transcript is spliced from 6 exons.
CCCUGUGGGAUACUGCUGUGGGAAACACAGCCUCAUCAGCAACAAAACAGUUCAGCAUGGCUGAAGGGAAAUGAGAGCUAAGACAUUGUCUGAUGGCAGUCUUGGGUUACAAUCAUGAGAAAUAAAAACUAUUCAUGGAGACGACAUCAGAGUAGAAAUAUCUAGUGAUACUGCAAGCAUGGACCUGAAGUUAAACAGCAUAUGAUGCAAGAGAGGCAAGGAUGAAAAAUUGGAGCUACAACAAGGAAAAAUCAGGAUCACUGUCACAAAUAAAACCUGGCUAAAAAGAGUGAGGAGAAAAAGGAUAAGCAAAUGUGUUGCUUGUUUUGGCUAGAGAAGAAGCAUUCCUUGGGUUUUUGAGCAAAAAGCAAUCCACUUACCUCUCUGUGAACACAAAUGCUCAACCAAAAACCAAGUCUGGGUGGAAUUUGGAGAGAAUCUGAAACGAGUCUGGAAGAUUGCAGAUGCUGUUUCCAAAUCACAGAAUAUUCUGUAUUGGAAAGGACCCACAAGGACAGUCAAGCCCAGCUCCUAAGGAAAUGUUUUUUUAUAAAACCUCUCCAAGUUAAGACAACAACACACCGUGUCUUGAAAAUUCUCCAACGCCCAACAUACUGUUCAAGAACAUUAGAGAACUUCUGGGUGAGCUAAAGCCACUGCUCUCUGAGUGCCAGCUGGGAUACAGCAGCUCUUUUGUCCACGAAAAACACAUACAUGUCAUCAGAUGAUGUUAUUAAAUUAGCCAAACUCUUUUCAUUGAUCCAAAGUAUUUCUUCUAAUUUCCACUUUAAAUUCAUCCAAGACUGGUUUAUACAUCUUUGUUUCUAUGCCAGCCUUUAUUGAAACAGCGAA